Non-coding RNA from Eucalyptus grandis, 112 nucleotides. NCBI's taxonomy places the organism in Eukaryota, Viridiplantae, Streptophyta, Magnoliopsida, Myrtales, Myrtaceae. The record is from Rfam.
CAGUGAAUAACAGCGUAAUUCUCCUUUGGCAGGAGAGAACUGCAUUGGCAUGCAUGCAAAUGUUAAUGCUUUUCUUGCUUCCGCCAAAGGAGAAUUGCCCUGCCAUUCACUU